This 445-nucleotide ribosomal RNA is filed under the name uncultured bacterium. RNAcentral's name for it is "SSU rRNA". It matches the Rfam family "Bacterial small subunit ribosomal RNA", at positions 26 to 518 of the family's 1533-position model. The record is from RNAcentral.
AGAACGAACGCUGGCGGCACGCCUAACACAUGCAAGUCGAGCGCCCAGCAAUGGGAGCGGCGGACGGGUGAGUAACACGUGGGAACAUGCCUUUCGGUACGGAACAACUGCGGGAAACUGCAGCUAAUGCCGUAUACGCCCUUACGGGGAAAGAUUUAUCGCCGAAAGAUUGGCCCGCGUCUGAUUAGCUAGUUGGUGAGGUAACGGCUCACCAAGGCUUCGAUCAGUAGCUGGUUUGAGAGAACGACCAGCCACAUUGGGACUGAGACACGGCCCAAACUCCUACGGGAGGCAGCAGUGAGGAAUUUUCCGCAAUGGGCGAAAGCCUGACGGAGCGACGCCGCGUGUGGGAAGAAGGCCUUCGGGUCGUAAACCACUGUCGAAGGGGAAGAUAUUGACGGUACCCGUUGGAGGAAGCCCCGGCUAACUACGCGCCAGCAGCCGC